Hemicordylus capensis (graceful crag lizard) is the source of this 1149-nucleotide long non-coding RNA. RefSeq lists it as uncharacterized. The transcript has 5 exons. The record is from RefSeq and is a predicted model, not a curated record. NCBI's taxonomy places the organism in Eukaryota, Metazoa, Chordata, Lepidosauria, Squamata, Cordylidae.
AGCUGGCCAGGAGCCCCACAGCCCGCCAGUCCUGGCUGCAAGCAGCCAUGGCUGGCAGACGAUCACAAAAACAGAGUUAGGAGAGCACUUGCGAGGAGCCCUGCUUCUGUCCUGAAUAUUUUACUGGUGAAGAGGAUAAAGAGAAAUCUGUUUACCCACCCCUCUGGUAAUUUUGUCAAGUGUCUUGCUCCUGAAAUUUUGGGCUGGCUCCUACAUCCAAAGAAAAUUGGUCAAGGCCUAAUGUACACAAUGGAUGGAAAUUCAGUAGGUGCCACGGCUCCAUAAGGAUCACAAAAUUUCCAGCUCUUUCAGAAACAGAUGGCAAGACAGCUAAAUUGAACCUCCUGCAUUCCGAGGCAGAAAGUCCCCGAAUACCAGUUACAGGGAAGGACAGCACGAGAGGGCUAUUGCCUUUGGACUCUGCUCAUUGGCUUUCCAGAGGCAUCUGGCUGGUCACUGUGGUUUUCCCUCUGCCGUGUCUGCAAGGCAUUGAAUUAAGAGGAAGUAAAUCAUCUAAGCAUCCAUCAAGACAUCAUGAUGUGGAUCGGUAACUGGUUGAAGGACAGGAAACAGAGAGUAGGAAUAAAUGGACAGUUUUCACAAUGGAGCAUGUUGGGAAGAGUUUACUGCAAAUUCCGGAUGAACACUUUAUGGAAAUGGAAUUUGUAUACUCAUCAUACUUAAAACAGGAAAUCUCUUUUCCUUGCAUGGUUCCUAAGAAAAGAUCCAACGUAACGAACAAUGUGCUGUGAUUAAGAGGUGUCUGUAAAAGAUGCAGACUUCUUUAUUUGGAAAAAUUUGCUCGAAGACCCACAGCAUAACAAUGAAAGUACAACUCUCAGGAUGUGUGGUGGAACCCUGCUUUUAAUAGAACUCCAAAGUUGUUUAGCCUUUACCAAACUCUGACAUUUUGAUAGUCCUCUUGGGUCCAUUUAAGUUCAAUGAACCAAGGAAUUAAGGAGGAGGGUGCAUUUCAAUGCUGUUUCUACUGUUUGAUUUCAUGAUCGCCUCAACAUCUAGAUCACCUACAAAUAAUUCGUUUGUCUGUUUCUGUUAAGUGUGUAAGUUGAAACUGCAUGCCAGUCUUUUAAAUAAUUAUUUUUGAACUGCAUAACAUGCUGUAAUAAAGUAGAAGGCAAUUUGAACUAA